Small nucleolar RNA from Cynara cardunculus var. scolymus (artichoke), 106 nucleotides. The record is from RefSeq and is a predicted model, not a curated record. Lineage: Eukaryota; Viridiplantae; Streptophyta; Magnoliopsida; Asterales; Asteraceae.
AUUCCAUGGUGAGGGAAUUUUUUGAACAGUUCUUUAAACCUCUCCCAUGCACAGGAACAACUUCAUCGUCCAUUUGUUUAAAAAGACAAAUUUCAUUUCUGAACUU